AUUGAACGCUGGCGGCAUGCCUUACACAUGCAAGUCGAACGGCAGCACGGGAGCAAUCCUGGUGGCGAGUGGCGAACGGGUGAGUAAAGUAUCGGAACGUGCCCAGUCGUGGGGGAUAACGUAGCGAAAGUUACGCUAAUACCGCAUACGAUCUAUGAAUGAAAGCGGGGGAUCGCAAGACCUCGCGCGAUUGGAGGGGCCGAUAUCAGAUUAGGUAGUUGGUGGGGGAAAGGCCCACCAAGCCGACGAGCUGUAGCUGGUCUGAGAGGACGACCAGCCACACUGGGACUGAGACACGGCCCAGACUCCUACGGGAGGCAGCAGUGGGGAAUUUUGGACAAUGGGCGAAAGCCUGAUCCAGCCAUGCCGCGUGCAGGAUGAAGGCCUUCGGGUUGUAAACUGCUUUUGUACGGAACGAAAAGGACUGCCCUAAUACGGUGGUCCCAUGACGGUACCGUAAGAAUAAGCACCGGCUAACUACGUGCCAGCCGCCGCGGUAA
RNAcentral lists this ribosomal RNA (500 nucleotides) under uncultured bacterium. RNAcentral's name for it is "partial 16S ribosomal RNA". It matches the Rfam family "Bacterial small subunit ribosomal RNA", at positions 29 to 523 of the family's 1533-position model. The record is from RNAcentral.